Molecule: ribosomal RNA, 637 nt
Filed under: Escherichia coli
Lineage: Bacteria; Pseudomonadati; Pseudomonadota; Gammaproteobacteria; Enterobacterales; Enterobacteriaceae
Description: partial 23S ribosomal RNA
Rfam family: Bacterial large subunit ribosomal RNA
Source: RNAcentral
CGUACCUUUUGUAUAAUGGGUCAGCGACUUAUAUUCUGUAGCAAGGUUAACCGAAUAGGGGAGCCGAAGGGAAACCGAGUCUUAACUGGGCGUUAAGUUGCAGGGUAUAGACCCGAAACCCGGUGAUCUAGCCAUGGGCAGGUUGAAGGUUGGGUAACACUAACUGGAGGACCGAACCGACUAAUGUUGAAAAAUUAGCGGAUGACUUGUGGCUGGGGGUGAAAGGCCAAUCAAACCGGGAGAUAGCUGGUUCUCCCCGAAAGCUAUUUAGGUAGCGCCUCGUGAAUUCAUCUCCGGGGGUAGAGCACUGUUUCGGCAAGGGGGUCAUCCCGACUUACCAACCCGAUGCAAACUGCGAAUACCGGAGAAUGUUAUCACGGGAGACACACGGCGGGUGCUAACGUCCGUCGUGAAGAGGGAAACAACCCAGACCGCCAGCUAAGGUCCCAAAGUCAUGGUUAAGUGGGAAACGAUGUGGGAAGGCCCAGACAGCCAGGAUGUUGGCUUAGAAGCAGCCAUCAUUUAAAGAAAGCGUAAUAGCUCACUGGUCGAGUCGGCCUGCGCGGAAGAUGUAACGGGGCUAAACCAUGCACCGAAGCUGCGGCAGCGACACUAUGUGUUGUUGGGUAGGGGAGCG